GACGAACGCUGGCGGCGUGCCCAAUACAUGCAAGUUGAGCGCUGAAGGUUGGUACUUGUACCAACUGGAUGAGCAGCGAACGGGUGAGUAACGCGUGGGGAAUCUGCCUUUGAGCGGGGGACAACAUUUGGAAACGAAUGCUAAUACCGCAUAAAAACUUUAAACACAAGUUUUAAGUUUGAAAGAUGCAAUUGCAUCACUCAAAGAUGAUCCCGCGUUGUAUUAGCUAGUUGGUGAGGUAAAGGCUCACCAAGGCGAUGAUACAUAGCCGACCUGAGAGGGUGAUCGGCCACAUUGGGACUGAGACACGGCCCAAACUCCUACGGGAGGCAGCAGUAGGGAAUCUUCGGCAAUGGACGAAAGUCUGACCGAGCAACGCCGCGUGAGUGAAGAAGGGUUUCGGAUCGUAAAACUCUGUUGGUAGAGAAGAACGUUGGUGAGAGUGGAAAGCUCAUCAAGUGACGGUAACUACCCAGAAAGGGACGGCUAACUACGUG
Molecule: ribosomal RNA, 497 nt
Filed under: uncultured bacterium
Lineage: Bacteria
Description: partial 16S ribosomal RNA
Rfam family: Bacterial small subunit ribosomal RNA
Source: RNAcentral